Molecule: ribosomal RNA, 107 nt
Filed under: uncultured bacterium
Lineage: Bacteria
Description: partial 16S ribosomal RNA
Rfam family: Bacterial small subunit ribosomal RNA
Source: RNAcentral
GUCGGCGGGGUAACGGCCCACCAAGACGACGAUGGAUAGGGGUUCUGAGAGGAAGGUCCCCCACAUUGGAACUGAGACACGGUCCAAACUCCUACGGGAGGCAGCAG